GUUUGUGGGGUCGAUUUUAGCAUGCUAGUUGCACGAGUUCACACUCGUGGCGAAAAGCUCAGUAACACGUGGCCAAACUACCCUACAGAGAACGAUAACCUCGGGAAACUGAGGCUAAUAGUUCAUACGGGAGUCAUGCUUGAAUGCCGACUCCCCGAAACGCUCCGGCGCUGUAGGAUGUGGCUGCGGCCGAUUAGGUAGACGGUGGGGUAACGGCCCACCGUGCCAAUAAUCGGUACGGGUUGUGAGAGCAAGAACCCGGAGACGGAAUCUGAGACAAGAUUCCGGGCCCUACGGGGCGCAGCAGGCGCGAAACCUUUACACUGCACGCAAGUGCGAUAAGGGGACCCCAAGUGCGAGGGCAUAUAGUCCUCGCUUUUCACGACUGUAAGGCGGUCGUGGAAUAAGAGCUGGGCAAGACCGGUGCCAGCCGCCGCGGUAAUACCGGCAGCUCAAGUGAUGACCGAUAUUAUUGGGCCUAAAGCGUCCGUAGCCGGCCACGAAGGUUCAUCGGGAAAUCCGCCAGCUCAACUGGCGGGCGUCCGGUGAAAACCACGUGGCUUGGGACCGGAAGGCUCGAGGGGUACGUCUGGGGUAGGA
Molecule: ribosomal RNA, 600 nt
Filed under: Haloferax mediterranei
Lineage: Archaea; Methanobacteriati; Methanobacteriota; Halobacteria; Halobacteriales; Haloferacaceae
Description: bacterial SSU rRNA
Rfam family: Archaeal small subunit ribosomal RNA
Source: RNAcentral